AAAUUCUGUUCCCUGCUGUCAGAGAAUUCUAUUAAGAGUAAAUCAGAAAACAAAUGGAAGAGACAGAAAGGAAAGCAAAAGGAGAAAGGAAGCAAAAAAGGAAGGAGAAAAGGAAAAAAAAAAAAGAGGAAAAAUGUUCAAGGCACUGAAAGUGGAACUUGACAUCUAAAUCUUAAGUCCCACAAGUAAGUUUAAUUCUUCCUAUUCUCCAUGCAUGCCUCCAGCCAUGAGAAUGAUUCUGUUCACUGAAAUAUUUCAGGCUCGUACAAUUCCUGCUUUUGUGUAUGACUAUGACUGCCUUGCUCUUGCCAGAGGUUAGCAUCUUGGAAACCUGUACUUCAGGCAGAUCAGGAUCUUUGUUUUCGUUCUAAGCAUUUCUCUGUCUGUGUCCUCUAGGGAGCUUGUUAUGCUUGCAACACAUAACAAAUACUCCAGAACUGGGAACCACACAAAAGAUGGUGACAGUGAUCUCUUCCAUACAAAGAUAUUGUAGGAGCAUGAGUUAAAUGUAACUGGUAGGUAUUUCACCUGCUAUAUGUAAAGUAGAAACUGUUUUCAGACUAAGAAUCAGAAAUCAUUUUUUUCAAGACUAGGUGAGUGCCCUUAUGCACUCAGCUGUAGAAGCAACACUCACUUUCCUGCUCUCUUUUUCUUGACUUUACAAUGCAAAGUGGCAUGACUUUAGAAAGGACUGUGCGGACAGAACACCGCAUCCUAACCUGGUUUGCUGAUCUCCAAAGGAAAAGGAGAUACGGACUGAAGCUCUUUUGGGAGGACAGAACCGGAACGGAGUCUGUAAUGUUCAGUGUGUAUUUAAAGAGAAUAUGUUACCAGCUGAGCAGUGCCUGAACAAUCGUCUUGCCUUUCAUAUACUGUACUUCCUCCAGAUCAGAGUGGGAGCAUCGUGGAGAAGCAAUCUGGGGGAAUUUGGGAAGGUAAUGGUUGCCAUCUGUAGUGCAUCUUUUCUAUAAAUGAGUAUUUUGAGCUUUUGUGCUGUUAGUUAAGCAACGUCAACCAUGCCUGAUCACUCUAAAACAAUACUUUGAGGAUCUGUAGUCAAGUGCUUAUCGAUUCUUCACUCUCAGAAGUCAAACAUAAAGCAAUGCAAAAAGAAUUUUUUAUAAUGACUAAUGUAAAUCAAAUAGCUGAUUUGUUAGAAA
RNAcentral lists this long non-coding RNA (1160 nucleotides) under Anser brachyrhynchus (Pink-footed goose). Its description in RNAcentral is "lncRNA (ENSABRG00000019537.1)". Lineage: Eukaryota; Metazoa; Chordata; Aves; Anseriformes; Anatidae. The record is from RNAcentral.